This 2111-nucleotide long non-coding RNA is filed under the name Lathyrus oleraceus (garden pea). Its description in RNAcentral is "Pisum sativum (pea) long non-coding RNA (PSAT_LNC010483)". Lineage: Eukaryota; Viridiplantae; Streptophyta; Magnoliopsida; Fabales; Fabaceae. The record is from RNAcentral.
ACCAAAAAAAUUCAGCUUAUUUGAAGUUUUUCAUUAUCUUUGAGAGAAAUAACCUUCAUUCAAUAUUCCUCUUUACCAUCUAAUUAAAUGAUAACUUUUGUAGACAUACAAACAUCUUCCAUGACAUAAUCUAUCAUUAAUAUGACAAACAUUUCAAACUAAUUGUUUUAUUUUAUGUUUCAUUUUCCUAUUCAAGAAAAUAUGUAACUCCAUGUUUCUUCUCAAUACCCUAAUCCUUUUUUCAAAAUAUAACUCCACAACUCCGUGAAAAUCCUCCCUUCAUUUUUCUUCUUAACCCUUCUUUAAAAUUUAACUACACAUCUUCGUGACAUCGUCCUUCACUGCAGCCGCUCUCGUCCCUCGUAGCACUAUGUGUAUGUCAUUUUCAAUUUUCCAUCAAAGGAUUAAAGUUGAGUCUUCUAAACAACAAAUAAAAAUACAGUCAAUGCUAUAAGAUUAAAGCAAGAAUUGUAUAGAAAAUCCUAUAGCUUAUUCAAUUGUAUGCACACUCCUACUACUUUCCCAUUUGUUAACAUAUGAAAGUUGGUUCGAUAAGUAACAAGAUAUCACCCACAAUGUUGAGACAAUAGGAUGAAGUAACGAUAAAUAUAAAAUAAGCAAUAUAAAUAACACAUGUUAUUGUUAGCCCAGUUUGCUGCAAAGUCACCUACGUAUGGAGGACAUCAAGCCAAUGAAAGGAAAAUCAUUAAUCAGUAGUCAGUAGUACAUGACAAUCUUAUCUAAACUCUUCCAGUCCAAUGUCAUUUUUCCUAAUACUACCUAUGAAUUUUGAUCCAUUCCCCCUGAAUCUGAGACCUCUCUCACUCUCACUUAAACACUCUUUCAAUUUUUAGCAAUAUUACAGUUUUAUUUGGCAUGAUACAUCACAAUUAUAAUCAAAUACUUUAUCUUUCUAACAUAACAAAGAUACUCAAGAAUAGAAUAUUACAAAAAAAAAUACAAAAGCCUCAAUGGAAACAAUAAAAUGACGCACUAAAAUCCCAGUCUCAGUCUUUAAACAAGGAGAAUCAUCUCUUUAAAUAGUAGCACAAUCCAUCCUAAAAAUUAAAUUAGGGUUUUAACACAAACCAAUGAUUCCAAAAAGCACAAGAUUCAUCUUUCUACAUUAAAGUCAAAUCUGAAUCUUGUCUAAAAUCAAAUCCAAUCAAAUCUUUAUCUGACUUACUUAAGAAAUACAAAAUCAUUAACAAAUAGAUUUAGAUUAAAAUUGUUCUUCCAAAAAUAUGUGAUAUAAAUCAUAUUUCUGAUUUACCCCAAAAUGACAAAAAUAUAGAAACAAAACAUUGAAGUGAUAAUCAUUUAGUUGAAACAAAAUAGAUCAAGACAAAUUGCAUAACAUCUUUCUUAACAUAUUUUCUACAAAAAUUUGUGAAUCAAAUGUAAUAACACUCGCCGGCUAUUUUUAGGCAAAUAAAACACAUGCAAGAUGUUACGCAAAAUGUUACACACAACCUUCCAGAAAAAAAAUUCAAGAACCCUGACAUGAAAGAGAUCAUAACAAAACACAAACAAAUCAUUUUUUUCAGAAACAUCAUAUCACAACGGAACAAUAAAGAAACAUGCAUAGAGUAGCAACAUCAAACAUCAUAGCAAAUAACAAAAACCACAUAUUAUUAGAAGAAAUUAGAAGAAUCUGUCAUUCUCCCCCUAUUUGCCUAAAAAGAGAAAAUGUAGGAGACCAUUGUCAGCCACACAUGAGUAUACAAAAUAUAGAAAAUAUCUAGUCACACAUGGGCAUACAUCUUAAAUAAAAAAUGUAGAGAAUCAAACAAAAAUAGAAAAAUAACCAGAAAUUGUAUUAAUGAGUAAACAUAUUACUGAGAUGAGAUAGAUGAAUCAUUAUCUAAGGUAGUACCAUACUCGACACCUGUACUUCAUCGGAGCUUAACAUAUCUUCGUCUUCACCCAAUGUCAUGGAAUCUUCCUCAACAUUUGGUACAACAUUAUGAGAAGUGGAAGCACCUGCAACCUGUGAACUUAAAAUUUUAAGCAACCACACACACAUAUUUUCUCGUAGUGGAUGUGGCUACUAUUUCAUUUAGCGCCUUGGUCUAUUGCAUAUGGGCCUUUAGGAUGUGGCUUUGCACAUG